This 3016-nucleotide ribosomal RNA is filed under the name Ignavibacteria bacterium. RNAcentral's name for it is "23S ribosomal RNA". It matches the Rfam family "Bacterial large subunit ribosomal RNA". The record is from RNAcentral. Lineage: Bacteria; Pseudomonadati; Ignavibacteriota; Ignavibacteria.
UUUGGUUAAGUUACUAAGGGCAUACGGUGGAUGCCUUGGUACGAGAAGUCGAUGAAGGACGCGACAACCUGCGAAAAGCUACGGAUAGGUGGAAAUAACCUGAGACCCGUAGAUCUCCGAAUGGGACAACCCAAUAGAAGUAAUGUUCUAUUAUCUGCAUCUGAAUCCAUAGGAUGCAUGAAGACAACCCAGUGAACUGAAACAUCUAAGUAGCUGGUGGAAGAGAAAACAAUAGUGAUUUCCUGAGUAGUGGCGAGCGAAACGGAAAGAGCCUAAACCGUCUGACAUGUUAAAGGCAGUAACCGUUGUGUCAGCGGUGUCGCGGGAAGCUUUAGACCGAAUUACUGUUAGGUCAAAGAGUCAAAAAUUAUAUUAUUAACCGAACAAUCUGGAAAGUCUGACCAAAGAAGGUGAUAGUCCUGUAGGUGAAAAUAAUGUAACUCUUUAAGCUUUUCCCAAGUAACACGAAGUAAGUGGAAUUUUGUGUGAAUCCGGGAGAACCAUCUCCUAAGGCUAAAUACUCUCUCGUAACCGAUAGCGCAGCAGUACCGUGAGGGAAAGGUGAAAAGUACUCCUAACAGGAGGGUGAAAUAGUACCUGAAACCGUAUGCUUACAAACGGUUGGAGUCCCGAUUUAUCGGGAUGACAGCGUGCCUUUUGUUUAAUGAGCCAACGAGUUACUCGUAUGCAGCAAGGUUAAGCUUUUAAGAAGCGGAGCCGAAGCGAAAGCAAGUCUGAAAACGGGCGUUUAAGUUGCAUGCGGUAGACGCGAAACCGGGUGAUCUACCCUUGUCCAGGAUGAAGUGAGGGUAAAACCUCAUGGAGGUCCGAACUAGUGUGGGUUGAAAACCGCUUGGAUGAGGUGAGGGUAGGAGCGAAAGACCAAUCAAACUCGGAGAUAGCUCGUAUUCCCCGAAAUAGCUUUAGGGCUAGCCUCGAGUAAUAGUGUAACGGAGGUAGAGCACUGAUAGGGCUAGGGCUGUCACAACGGUACCAAACCCUGACAAACUCCGAAUACCGUAUACAUGUUUCUCGGGAGUCAGGCAGUGGGAGAUAAGUUUCAUUGCCGAGAGGGAAACAACCCAGAUCAACAACUAAGGCCCCUAAAUAGUAGUUAACAGAUAAAGGAUGUUAGAUUGCUUAGACAACUAGGAUGUUGGCUUAGAAGCAGCCACUCAUUUAAAGAGUGCGUAAUAGCUCACUAGUCAAGCGAUCUGGCGUCGACAAUUCUCGGGACUUAAACUACUUGCCGAAGUUUUGGAUGUCAUUUAAUUAUGACGUGGUAGGGGAACAUUCUAUUCUGCAUCGAAGGUGUGUCGUGAGGCAUGCUGGAGCGGAUAGAAAAGCAAAUGUUGGCAUAAGUAACGAUAAGACAGAUGGAAAAUCUGUCCACCGAAAAUCUAAGGUUUCCUGAGCAACGUUAAUCGUCUCAGGGUUAGUCGAUCCCUAAGCUGAGGCCGAAAGGCGUAAGUGAUGGCAAACAGGUUAAUAUUCCUGUACCUGGUAAUAUUCGUUUGACCGUAAGGAGGGACGCAGAAGUGAAGGUUAGCCACCUGUUGGAUUAGGUGGUCUAAGUAUGUAGGUGGAGAAGGCAGGCAAAUCCGCUUUCUCUUACACCGAGAUAUGAAUGGGAGAGCUUAGCUCACAAACUAACCGUAAGCAUGCUGCCAAGAAAAUCUUCGUACGGGAGAAUCUUAUCAGAUCGUACCGCAAACCGACACAGGUAGAUGGGAUGAAUAUUCUAAGGUGCUCGAGUGAGCCGUGGUUAAGGAACUCGGCAAAUUAACCCCGUAACUUCGGGAUAAGGGGUGCCUCAAGUAGGUCUAGGGAUUUACUCCUGAAGCCGAAAGAGGCCGCAGAGAAAUGGCCCAAGCGACUGUUUAACAAAAACACAUGUCUGUGCGAAGUCAAUUAAGACGAUGUAUACGGACUGACACCUGCCCGGUGCUGGAAGGUUAAGGGGAGAGGUUAUCGUAAGAGAAGCUUUGAACCGAAGCCCCAGUAAACGGCGGCCGUAACUAUAACGGUCCUAAGGUAGCGAAAUUCCUUGUCGGGUAAGUUCCGACCUGCACGAAUGGUGUAACGAUUUGGGCUCUGUCUCAACCACGGGCUCGGUGAAAUUGUGGUACCGGUGAAGACGCCGGUUACCCGCAUAUGGACGGAAAGACCCCGUGCACCUUUACUGCACCCUAGCAUUGGGUUCGGAUAAAGCAUGUGUAGGAUAGGUGGGAGGCUUUGAAGCCGGGGCGCUAGCUUCGGUGGAGCCAAUGGUGAAAUACCACCCUUGCUUUAUUUGGAUUCUAACCACGACCCAUGAAUCUGGGUUUGGGACAGUGUUAGGCGGGUAGUUUGACUGGGGCGGUCGCCUCCUAAAGAGUAACGGAGGCUCUCAAAGGUUCCCUCAGCACGGUUGGUAAUCGUGCGGCGAGUGUAAAGGCAAAAGGGAGCUUAACUGCGAGACCUACAAGUCGAGCAGGUGCGAAAGCAGGACUUAGUGAUCCGACGGUAGCGAGUGGAAGUGCCGUCGCUCAAAGGAUAAAAGGUACGCCGGGGAUAACAGGCUGAUCUUGCCCAAGAGUUCAUAUCGACGGCAAGGUUUGGCACCUCGAUGUCGGCUCAUCGCAUCCUGGGGCUGAAGAAGGUCCCAAGGGUUUGGCUGUUCGCCAAUUAAAGCGGUACGUGAGCUGGGUUCAGAACGUCGUGAGACAGUUCGGUCCCUAUCCUAUGCGGGCGCAGGAUACUUGAGAAGGGUCAUUCUUAGUACGAGAGGACCGGAAUGAACGUACCUCUAGUGCACCAAUUAUCACGCCAGUGGUAUCGUUGGGUAGCUAUGUACGGUUGUGAUAAGCGCUGAAAGCAUCUAAGCGCGAAGCACGCUUCAAGAUGAGGUAUCCCUCACUUUAUGUGACUAAAGACUCCUCGGAGAUGACGAGGUUGAUAGGCUGCAGGUAUAAGCCCAGUAAUGGGUUCAGCCGAGCAGUACUAAUAAGUCGUGAGACUUAAUCAAUUAUAUUUU